Molecule: ribosomal RNA, 469 nt
Filed under: Escherichia coli
Lineage: Bacteria; Pseudomonadati; Pseudomonadota; Gammaproteobacteria; Enterobacterales; Enterobacteriaceae
Description: bacterial SSU rRNA
Rfam family: Bacterial small subunit ribosomal RNA
Source: RNAcentral
AGCUCGUGUUGUGAAAUGUUGGGUUAAGUCCCGCAACGAGCGCAACCCUUAUCCUUUGUUGCCAGCGGUCCGGCCGGGAACUCAAAGGAGACUGCCAGUGAUAAACUGGAGGAAGGUGGGGAUGACGUCAAGUCAUCAUGGCCCUUACGACCAGGGCUACACACGUGCUACAAUGGCGCAUACAAAGAGAAGCGACCUCGCGAGAGCAAGCGGACCUCAUAAAGUGCGUCGUAGUCCGGAUUGGAGUCUGCAACUCGACUCCAUGAAGUCGGAAUCGCUAGUAAUCGUGGAUCAGAAUGCCACGGUGAAUACGUUCCCGGGCCUUGUACACACCGCCCGUCACACCAUGGGAGUGGGUUGCAAAAGAAGUAGGUAGCUUAACCUUCGGGAGGGCGCUUACCACUUUGUGAUUCAUGACUGGGGUGAAGUCGUAACAAGGUAACCGUAGGGGAACCUGCGGUUGGAUCAC